GGAAAGGCAGUUUAAACAGCGAGACUGCAAGACUGCUGAGAGGAGAAGGGAGAUGUCAAUUUUGAUUCAGAAGGAAGAGCUUCUAAAAACUCACCUUCUGAGCUGUGCAGACUUUGCUGCAGCACAGAAGGUUACUGAGUGACUCAAACCAACUCAAACCAAGCCUGGAAGCAAGAUACACUUGCAAAGACAUAUGAGGCAAUGGCUCCAAAGGAGGACUAGAGAUUUCAGUGCAAUCCAUGGGUAAACUGGCUUAUAUGGAGUGAAAUAUGCUUCUGCCUUCAGUAAAUUUGACAAAUUUGACAAAUUUUCUGAAAGAGAAAGCCUCUUCCCUUCAACAUUCAGUAUAUUCUGGAUUCUAAAAUACUGGAGAAUCUGAAAGAGUGAGAUUUUCAUGUUCUGUCCACUUGAAAGGUACUGAAAAAUUUGGAAGAAAUUUUGCUUUGUGGAGGAUCUGAAGACAAAAAAUGUGCAGUCUUUGGAAGGCACACUGGGUUGCUGUCGUCAUUUAUCUACUUAAAAGCUCUGUGAAGAAGGAAUCCAGAGAAUAGCAGAGCUGCUCCACAUCACUGUAAAUUGUUUGUUCUGAGGAUGCACCAAACCUUGAAAACUGGGGAUGCUGAAGUCUAAGUUUCAGAAUCUCUAGGAAAACGCCAUAUGCAAUGAGAAACCCAGUUUGCAAUGGAGACGAAUGCAUCAAAAUGCAACGGUGUUUCUCAAAACUUCGUUGCCAGUGCUCUGCCUUACCCUCUCCCGCAUUGCUGAUGACGUCUCAGCAGCAGCCCCACGAGCUGAGGAGCAUGAAACAUUUGCAGCCGGCAACAUCUGAUGAUAACCUUGACUGUGACAGACAUCACUGAUACCGCUCCGCAAGGCAGGGGCGACCCACAAGCCCAGCGCACGCAGGCCUUGCAGAGCGCAAUCUCAGCUCAUUUUCUCUAAGCUAUACAAGUUCACGGACGAGCUACCUAGCCAGUCCUCCUCUCCGGUCAUGGACCUCCCAGGCUGCUGCGUGCCGCCCGCCCUCUGAGGAGGCUCCUUCGCCCCGCGCAGAGGAGGAGGAGGCGGAGGAGAAGAAGGGGAGGAAGGCGCGGCCGCAGCCGCCGCUGCCCAGCCGCCGUCCCGCAGAGCGCUGGCCGCAGGGCGCCGCGGCGGCAGCAGGAGCGCAGCCCCG
Corvus hawaiiensis (hawaiian crow) is the source of this 1174-nucleotide long non-coding RNA. RefSeq lists it as uncharacterized. The record is from RefSeq and is a predicted model, not a curated record. Lineage: Eukaryota; Metazoa; Chordata; Aves; Passeriformes; Corvidae. The transcript has 7 exons.